RNAcentral lists this unclassified non-coding RNA (394 nucleotides) under Enterococcus faecalis V583. RNAcentral describes it as "Ref12A". The record is from RNAcentral. Lineage: Bacteria; Bacillati; Bacillota; Bacilli; Lactobacillales; Enterococcaceae.
ACCCGGUGUUCUUUAAUUUUUGGAGACCAAGUCCUUCAAUUCUUAGUGAUUUAUCACUUAGAGAUUGAUGAGAUCGGAGCUCUGCGAAGUAGGUAUUGUUCAUCAUCGAAUCACUACGUUCUUCGUGAUUCUCAACAAUUUCGGCUUAUUUCCGAAGGACCUUCACCAAGUAGGUACGAUGAUUUCAUCUGUUCAUGCUUCACAGUGAAACAUCGCAACUCUUAGAGCUGUAGCUCUUUUGAAGGCUGUACUGUGACGAGACGCAUGUCGAGAAAACACCUUAGAAGUUGUUGAGAUCGGAGCAACGCGUAGUGUUGCUUCUGUCCCCGCCGUUUAUCAAUUUUUAAGCCUGGAACAAAAAUCCAAAGUGAUUUUUGUUCCAGGCUCUUACUUU